This 253-nucleotide ribosomal RNA is filed under the name uncultured bacterium. Its description in RNAcentral is "partial 16S ribosomal RNA". It matches the Rfam family "Bacterial small subunit ribosomal RNA", at positions 524 to 776 of the family's 1533-position model. The record is from RNAcentral.
UACGUAGGGCGCAAGCGUUGUCCGGAAUUAUUGGGCGUAAAGAGCUUGUAGGCGGUCUGUCGCGUCUGCUGUGAAAAUCCGGGGCUCAACCCCGGACUUGCAGUGGGUACGGGCAGACUAGAGGUAGGUAGGGGAGAAUGGAAUUCCCGGUGUAGCGGUGAAAUGCGCAGAUAUCGGGAGGAACACCGGUGGCGAAGGCGGUUCUCUGGGCCUUACCUGACGCUGAGGAGCGAAAGCGUGGGGAGCGAACAGG